UUUUCCGGUCUAUAAAUAUACACGAAUUUCUCGUAUCAAAAAAUAAAUCUCAUUUCUAUUCUAUCUCCUUCUUCUUAUAACUCCUACCUUUUCCAUUUCCAUUUCCAUCUUAAUAAGAUUCUUUUUCUUUAUCAAAGCUCUCUGUUUCUAUAGAAAAAAGGUGAGAAAUCUUUCAAUCUAAUUCCAUUUUUGCAUCUUUCUCUUCUCUCUGUACGAUCUGAUUCAUCUUUUUAAAUUUAGCUAUAUAUUGAUUUUAGAAUAUCUGAAAUCCUUUUUGAAGAAGAAACUAGCUAUGAUCUUAUGAAUUCAUAAAAUCUUGAUUUGAUAAGAGUAGUUUUUCUUCUAUUAUGAUUGCUUCUUUUUGUCGUUUGUUUUUCCACAGUUUGUUUGAUCAAUUUGAUAAAUAAAUAUAUAUAAUUGAUACUUCUCUGUAAUUGUUUAAUUCCUUCUCUGUCUUAUACUUAUUUGUUUAUUAAUUAAAAUAAAAGAGUUUUUAUUUUUCAAGAAAGAUAAAUGAUUCUUGGUAUUUGUCUUCAUCUCUAAAACUUUCUCUGACAGAUUUGUGUAUUCUUCCAUUUUCAGGAACAAGAAUAGAAUAAGCCCAGUUGUUUCUUGUCUUUGUUUC
RNAcentral lists this long non-coding RNA (625 nucleotides) under Aquilegia coerulea. RNAcentral describes it as "long non-coding RNA (ACOE_LNC000878)". The record is from RNAcentral. Lineage: Eukaryota; Viridiplantae; Streptophyta; Magnoliopsida; Ranunculales; Ranunculaceae.